This 919-nucleotide small RNA is filed under the name Pan troglodytes (chimpanzee). RNAcentral describes it as "processed transcript". Lineage: Eukaryota; Metazoa; Chordata; Mammalia; Primates; Hominidae. The record is from RNAcentral.
UCCAUCUGACAUAAAUAUGAUCCAAGGAAACUACGGACUCCUUCCUGAACUGCCUGCUGUUGGAGGGAACGAAGGUGUUGCACAGGUGGUAGCGGUGGGCAGCAAUGUGACCGGGCUGAAGCCAGGAGACUGGGUGAUUCCAGCAAAUGCUGGUUUAGGAACCUGGCGGACCGAGGCUGUGUUCAGCGAGGAAGCACUGAUCCAAGUUCCGAGUGACAUCCCUCUUCAGAGCGCUGCCACCCUGGGUGUCAAUCCCUGCACAGCCUACAGGAUGUUGAUGGACUUCGAGCAACUGCAGCCAGACCUGAUAUCCAGAAGCUGAGUGACAGACUGAAGAGUCUGGGGGCUGAGCAUGUCAUCACAGAAGAGGAGCUAAGAAGGCCCAAAAUGAAAAACUUCUUUAAGGACAUGCCCCAGCCACGGCUUGCUCUCAACUGUGUUGGUGGGAAAAGCUCCACAGAGCUGCUGCGGCAGUUAGCGCGUGGAGGAACCAUGGUAACCUAUGGGGGGAUGGCCAAGCAGCCCGUCGUAGCCUCUGUGAGCCUGCUCAUUUUUAAGGAUCUCAAACUUCGAGGCUUUUGGUUGUCCCAGUGGAAGAAGGAUCACAGUCCAGACCAGUUCAAGGAGCUGAUCCUCACACUGUGCGAUCUCAUCCGCCGAGGCCAGCUCACAGCCCCUGCCUGCUCCCAGGUCCCGCUGCAGGACUACCAGUCUGCCUUGGAAGCCUCCAUGAAGCCCUUCAUAUCUUCAAAGCAGAUUCUCACCAUGUGAUCAUCCCAAAAGAGCUGGAGUGACAUGGGAGGGGAGGCGGAUCUGAGGGGCUGGGUGCAGGCCCCUCAGUUGGGGUUCCCACCUUCCCCAGACUACUGUUCUCCUCACUGCCUCUUCCUAUUAGGAGGAUGGUGAAGCCAGCCACGAU